This 1373-nucleotide ribosomal RNA is filed under the name uncultured bacterium. Its description in RNAcentral is "bacterial SSU rRNA". It matches the Rfam family "Bacterial small subunit ribosomal RNA". The record is from RNAcentral.
AGAGUUUGAUCCUGGCUCAGGACGAACGCUGGCGGCGCGCCUAACACAUGCAAGUCGAACGAGAGAGAGGGAGCUUGCUUCCUUGAUCGAGUGGCGAACGGGUGAGUAACGCGUGAGGAACCUGCCUCAAAGAGGGGGACAACAGUUGGAAACGACUGCUAAUACCGCAUAAGCCCACGACCCGGCAUCGGGAAGAGGGAAAAGGAGCAAUCCGCUUUGAGAUGGCCUCGCGUCCGAUUAGCUAGUUGGUGAGGUAACGGCCCACCAAGGCGACGAUCGGUAGCCGGACUGAGAGGUUGAACGGCCACAUUGGGACUGAGACACGGCCCAGACUCCUACGGGAGGCAGCAGUGGGGAAUAUUGCACAAUGGGGGAAACCCUGAUGCAGCGACGCCGCGUGGAGGAAGAAGGUCUUCGGAUUGUAAACUCCUGUUGUUGAGGAAGAUAAUGACGGUACUCAACAAGGAAGUGACGGCUAACUACGUGCCAGCAGCCGCGGUAAAACGUAGGUCACAAGCGUUGUCCGGAAUUACUGGGUGUAAAGGGAGCGCAGGCGGGCGAUCAAGUUGGAAGUGAAAUCCAUGGGCUCAACCCAUGAACUGCUUUCAAAACUGGUCGUCUUGAGUAGUGCAGAGGUAGGCGGAAUUCCCGGUGUAGCGGUGGAAUGCGUAGAUAUCGGGAGGAACACCAGUGGCGAAGGCGGCCUACUGGGCACCAACUGACGCUGAGGCUCGAAAGUGUGGGUAGCAAACAGGAUUAGAUACCCUGGUAGUCCACACCGUAAACGAUGAUUACUAGGUGUUGGGAGAUUGACCCUCUCAGUGCCGCAGUUAACACAAUAAGUAAUCCACCUGGGGAGUACGACCGCAAGGUUGAAACUCGAAGGAAUUGACGGGGGCCCGCACAAGCAGUGGAGUAUGUGGUUUAAUUCGACGCAACGCGAAGAACCUUACCAAGUCUUGACAUCCCUUGACGAUGUUGGAAACAGUAUUUCUCUUCGGAGCAAGGAGACAGGUGGUGCAUGGUUGUCGUCAGCUCGUGUCGUGAGAUGUUGGGUUAAGUCCCGCAACGAGCGCAACCCUUAUUGUUAGUUGCCAUCAUUAAGUUGGGCACUCUAGCGAGACUGCCCGGGUUAACCGGGAGGAAGGUGGGGAUGACGUCAAAUCAUCAUGCCCCUUAUGUCUAGGGCUACACACGUGCUACAAUGGUCGGUACAAUAAGACGCAAGCCCGCGAGGGGGAGCAAAACUGGAAAACCGAUCUCAGUUCGGAUUGUAGGCUGAAACUCGCCUACAUGAAGCUGGAGUUGCUAGUAAUCGCGAAUCAGCAUGUCGCGGUGAAUACGUUCCCGGGCCUUGCACACACCGCCCGUCA